This 252-nucleotide ribosomal RNA is filed under the name uncultured bacterium. RNAcentral's name for it is "partial 16S ribosomal RNA". It matches the Rfam family "Bacterial small subunit ribosomal RNA", at positions 524 to 776 of the family's 1533-position model. The record is from RNAcentral.
UACGGAGGAUGCGAGCGUUAUCCGGAUUUAUUGGGUUUAAAGGGUGCGCAGGCGGAUUUUUAAGUCAGCGGUCAAAUCGUGGGGCUCAACCCCAUCCAGCCGUUGAAGCUGGGGAUCUAGAGUGUGCGAGAGGUAUGCGGAAUGCGUGGUGUAGCGGUGAAAUGCAUAGAUAUCACGCAGAACCCCGAUUGCGAAGGCAGCAUACCGGUGCACAACUGACGCUCAGGCACGAAAGCGUGGGUAUCGAACAGG